CGACCUACAUGCGCUUACGCGUUUCCUAUGACAAACUGAGUGAUGGUAGAAAUUACAGGUUUGUGCAAAGGAAGAGUUUUGGAGCGUUUUGGGAGGGGAGGGGCCGGAAUGGAUGGCAAAAGUGCCGACUGAGCCACAAUCCUGCUGUGGUUUACCACCAAAAUAUAAACCUAUCCCCAGCUAAAGAGUGUGCCACUCGUGCGCCAUGGAAGACGUUUGGCUUCAGCGACUCCAGAUAUUGCCAAAAGUCUUAGCCCGGAAGAGCCGCUCUUUUCUCGGGGCCGUUUUGGCGCUCGUUUUCCAUCAACACCGAGCUGCGGGCGUGGAAAAAUCCCCCACAACUAUUAAUCACUCGGGGCGGACAUGGACAGCAUCCCACUCCCACACCAGCCUUUGUCUUCUCAAACUACAACUUGAGCGAUGAGAAGCUGUCACUCGGAUUAUAAGGCUCGACGUGACCGUGCGCUGGAGGCAAAUCCACCCUCGCCUUUCGCCACCGCACCUGAACUUUUCCCUGACCCGGGCAGAGGCAUGUCGAGUCGAAUGGGAAGUCAUUUUAGGGUACAAAAACAAGGAGAAGAUGUAAACCAAAGGCCCUCAGCUGGGCUCCUUAUCAUUGUCAGCGAAGAGACCCCUGGAUGUUGGCCAGACGGCGGUCCAUAUCUUCCCCACAAUGUUGACACUCGGAGCUCCUAACAGCCAGGGCUUGGGUUACCGAGAGACUCAGCCGAAGACAGCUCUUUCUGCGAGGUUUACGCCGGCCAACAUCAAGGCUAAUGCGAAAUUCAACGCCUUAAGCUGACUGGGGCAAUCCCUCAUGGACGCAGAGCAGCACUGGGGCGGACUAGAACCGCGGAUUUGUGCUUA
Molecule: long non-coding RNA, 867 nt
Organism: Xiphias gladius (swordfish)
Lineage: Eukaryota; Metazoa; Chordata; Actinopteri; Istiophoriformes; Xiphiidae
Exons: 3
Source: RefSeq, a predicted model, not a curated record